GCCGGGCAUAGUGGUGUGUACCUGUAGUCCCAGCUACUUUGGAGGCUGAGGCUGGAGAAUCACUUGAGCCCAGGAGGCGGAGGGUGCAGUGAGCCGAGAUCUGCCACUGCACUCCAGCCUGGGCAACAGAGGGAGACUCCGUCUCAA
Molecule: small RNA, 147 nt
Filed under: Pongo abelii (Sumatran orangutan)
Lineage: Eukaryota; Metazoa; Chordata; Mammalia; Primates; Hominidae
Description: Metazoan signal recognition particle RNA (ENSPPYG00000039625.1)
Rfam family: Metazoan signal recognition particle RNA
About the family: The signal recognition particle (SRP) is a universally conserved ribonucleoprotein. It is involved in the co-translational targeting of proteins to membranes.
Source: Rfam by way of RNAcentral